UAUCCAACAUUUUCAUAAUACAUUUAUUUAUUAUAAAUCAAAGUUUUAAUACAUAAAAUGUACAACUUUACAAAUUUAAGAAAUAGUAAUGGAAAAAUAGUGUUUAAAAUAUGAUUUUAUGUUUUUAAUGAGAUUAAAGAAAGAGAAACUUGAGUAGUCAAGUAUUGGACCCAAAUGUCAAAUAAUUUUAAUUGGGGAUUUUUAUAAAAUUAAGAAAGUUUGGCUAAAGGGCUUAUUUGAAAAGAAUUUUAGUAUUUUGGGUCCAAGUGUAAUUUUUAAAAAUAAAUAAAUAAAAAAAAAAUAAAAUAAAAUAAAAGGCUUCAGCCUUUCAUUUUACCCGAGCCCCUCUCUCUCUCUCCUCAGAAACCCUCUCUCUCUCUCUCCUCAGAAACUCUCUCUCUCUCUCUCUCUCUCUCUCUCUCUCCUCUGCGUAUUACUGUUGCCGACGACGCAGGAGUACUUUCCGGCCACCAUUUUUAGCCACGCGCCGGACCGUUGGAUUCAGAGGCCUCCGAACUAUCGACCAACGCGGGAAUCUAGAGCUCACUCGCCGAUUAAACGCCUCAACCACUCGAUUUAAGUUCGGCCACCCCGCGACUUCAAAGUUGCGAUUCGGCCACCUCGGGCAUCCGUUUGCCGAUCCGUCACCACCAUCGUGCUCCUCGUGUUGUGGGCUUCAAAACCCAAUAACUUGUUCCUACAUCUACCAUAGUUGGGUCGACGAGCCACCGCGAUCCACCGUAGAUCGACGGUCGAAACUUAGUGUUCGAGGUUCCGAAGUACGUUUUGAGUCUCAGAAAAUCAUCGUUUGACUUAUUGUGGAACCCGAUCAUUUUGGAUUUGUAUGGAUUUGAUUGAUUGACUCUUGGUGAGGAAUUUUAAAAUAAGCUAAGGACCUAAGGUGUGGCUUUAGCUGUUGAGCAACUUGUGGAGCACGGACUCAGUAGCAAUGCAAUAAUGGUUUUAGAGUUUUCAUAUGGCUGCCUUAAAUUUAAAGUAUUCAUACGUGUAAUAAUUUCUUCUAAUAAGUUUAUAUAAAAGUUUUAAAUUUUUCUGUA
Molecule: long non-coding RNA, 1058 nt
Organism: Humulus lupulus (European hop)
Lineage: Eukaryota; Viridiplantae; Streptophyta; Magnoliopsida; Rosales; Cannabaceae
Exons: 3
Source: RefSeq, a predicted model, not a curated record